AGUGAACGCUGGCGGUAGGCCUAACACAUGCAAGUCGAACGGCAGCACAGUGAGAGCUUGCUCUUACGGGUGGCGAGUGGCGGACGGGUGAGGAAUACAUCGGAAUCUACUUUUUCGUGGGGGAUAACGUAGGGAAACUUACGCUAAUACCGCAUACGACCUACGGGUGAAAGCAUGGGAUCUUCGGACCUUGCGCGAUUGAAUGAGCCGAUGUCGGAUUAGCUAGGUGGCGGGGUAAAGGCCCACCAAGGCGACGAUCCGUAGCUGGUCUGAGAGGAUGAUCAGCCACACUGGAACUGAGACACGGUCCAGACUCCUACGGGAGGCAGCAGUGGGGAAUAUUGGACAAUGGGCGCAAGCCUGAUCCAGCCAUACCGCGUGGGUGAAGAAGGCCUUCGGGUUGUAAAGCCCUUUUGUUGGGAAAGAAAAGCAGCAGGUUAAUACCCCGCUGUUCUGACGGUACCCAAAGAAUAAGCACCGGCUAACUUCGUG
This 492-nucleotide ribosomal RNA is filed under the name uncultured bacterium. RNAcentral describes it as "partial 16S ribosomal RNA". It matches the Rfam family "Bacterial small subunit ribosomal RNA", at positions 29 to 507 of the family's 1533-position model. The record is from RNAcentral.